AUUUCAACUGAUGCUGUCUCUCACCGUUGCCAAAUUCCUUACUGCUUUGGUUUCAUGUGCAACUGCAAUAACACUUUUGACUUUGAUUCCUCUUCUUCUCAAAUGGAAAGUAAGAGAGCUUUUCUUGAAGCAAAAUGUGUUGGAAUUAGACCAAGAAGUUGGUAUCAUGAAAAAGCAGAAGGAAGCGAGUUUGCAUGUCCGAAUGCUAACCCAGGAAAUCAGGAAGUCCCUCGAUAAGCAUACCAUAUUGUAUACAACUUUGGUUGAGCUUUCUAAGACUUUGGAUUUGCAUAAUUGUGCUGUAUGGAUGCCAAAUGAGAAUAGAACAGAGAUGAAUCUCACCCAUGAGUUAAAACCAAGUUCUAAACGUUAUCACGCUUCUAUUCCUGUCAAUGACCCGGAUGUGUUAGAGAUAAAAGAUGCCAAUGGGGUAAAGAUUUUGAGGCCAGAUUCGGCACUUGGGGUGGCAAGUGGUGGUGGUACUGAAGAGGCAGGUGCUUUGGCAGCAAUUCGGAUGCCAAUGCUUCAGGUUUCAAAUUUCAAAGGUGGC
RNAcentral lists this unclassified non-coding RNA (550 nucleotides) under Hevea brasiliensis (rubber tree). The record is from RNAcentral. Lineage: Eukaryota; Viridiplantae; Streptophyta; Magnoliopsida; Malpighiales; Euphorbiaceae.